This 774-nucleotide ribosomal RNA is filed under the name uncultured Neocallimastigales. Its description in RNAcentral is "partial large subunit ribosomal RNA". It matches the Rfam family "Eukaryotic large subunit ribosomal RNA", at positions 18 to 616 of the family's 3401-position model. Lineage: Eukaryota; Fungi; Neocallimastigomycota; Neocallimastigomycetes; Neocallimastigales. The record is from RNAcentral.
UCAGACGAUGCGUCAUGCAUAUCAAUAAGCGGAGGAAAAGAAACUAACAAGGAUUCCCCUAGUAACGGCGAGUGAAGCGGGAAGAGCUCAAAUUUGAAAUCUUAAAGGGUUUCCCUUUACGAAUUGUAGUUUAAAGAAGUGUUUUCUGUUGAGGUUUUGGUAAAAGUUCUUUGGAAUAGGACAUCAUAGAGGGUGAGAAUCCCGUAUUUGACCUUUACUUUCAACUUUGUGAUACACUUUCAAAGAGUCGGAUUGUUUGGGAAUGCAGUCCAAAAUGGGUGGUAAAUUUCAUCUAAAGCUAAAUAUUGGCGAGAGACCGAUAGCGAACAAGUACCGUGAGGGAAAGAUGAAAAGAACUUUGAAAAGAGAGUUAAACAGUACGUGAAAUUGUCAAAAGGGAAGCGUUUGACACCAGUGUUGUUUUUCUGAAAAUCAAUUAAAGAACUGUCUAUGCUAAGUUGUUUAGACUUUAUCAGCUAACUGUUUAGUUUUGAGCUUUUCUUUAAUGCACUUUUCAGUUAACAAGUCAACAUCAAUUUCUUUUGCUGUAAAAAAGCUUGAGGAAGGUGGCUUGAGAUUCGUCUUAAGUGUUUAUAGCCUCUUGCCUAUGCAGUCGGAGAGAUUGAGGUCUGCAGCGUAGAUCCUUCGGGGCUAAAUGCAUUUGUGCUAAGUUAUAGCAUUUUAUAGACAACUUGUUGACUAUGAUUUGUCUUGUAGCUUACUCGCUUAUGUUAUUUUACCUACGCUUAGGAUGUUGAGCGCAUGUCUCUCUCU